AUUGAACGCUGGCGGCAGGCCUAACACAUGCAAGUCGGACGGUAGCACAGAGGAGCUUGCUCCUUGGGUGACGAGUGGCGGACGGGUGAGUAGUGUCUGGGGAUCUGCCCGAUAGAGGGGGAUAACCACUGGAAACGGUGGCUAAUACCGCAUAACGUCGCAAGACCAAAGAGGGGGACCUUCGGGCCUCUCACCAUCGGAUGUACCCAGAUGGGAUUAGCUAGUAGGCGGGGUAAUGGCCCACCUAGGCGACGAUCCCUAGCUGGUCUGAGAGGAUGACCAGCCACACUGGAACUGAGACACGGUCCAGACUCCUACGGGAGGCAGCAGUGGGGAAUAUUGCACAAUGGGCGCAAGCCUGAUGCAGCCAUGCCGCGUGUAUGAAGAAGGCCUUCGGGUUGUAAAGUACUUUCAGCGGGGAGGAAGGCGGUGAGGUUAAUAACCUCGCCGAUUGACGUUACCCGCAGAAGAAGCACCGGCUAACUCCGUGCCAGCCGCCGCCGUAA
RNAcentral lists this ribosomal RNA (506 nucleotides) under uncultured bacterium. RNAcentral's name for it is "partial 16S ribosomal RNA". It matches the Rfam family "Bacterial small subunit ribosomal RNA", at positions 29 to 523 of the family's 1533-position model. The record is from RNAcentral.